Molecule: non-coding RNA, 253 nt
Filed under: uncultured bacterium
Lineage: Bacteria
Also listed under: 1 other name
Description: partial 16S ribosomal RNA
Rfam family: Bacterial small subunit ribosomal RNA
Source: RNAcentral
UACGUAGGGGGCAAGCGUUGUCCGGAUUUACUGGGUGUAAAGGGCGCGCAGGCGGGAUAAAAAGUCAGUGGUGAAAUCCUACAGCUUAACUGUAGAACUGCCUUUGAUACUUUUAUUCUUGAGUUCGGGAGAGAGAGACGGAAUUCCAGGUGUAGUGGUGAAAUACGUAGAUAUCUGGAAGAACACCAGUUGCGAAGGCGGUCUCUUGGUCCGAUACUGACGCUGAGGCGCGAAAGCGUGGGGAGCAAACAGG